UCUGGUGAUUAUAGCUUGAAGGCAACACCCGUUCCCAUUCCGAACACGAUGGUUAAGCUUCAACACGCUGAUGGUACUGCAUGGGUGACUGUG
This 93-nucleotide ribosomal RNA is filed under the name Clostridium grantii DSM 8605. The record is from RNAcentral. Lineage: Bacteria; Bacillati; Bacillota; Clostridia; Eubacteriales; Clostridiaceae.